RNAcentral lists this ribosomal RNA (340 nucleotides) under uncultured Bacillus sp. RNAcentral's name for it is "bacterial SSU rRNA". It matches the Rfam family "Bacterial small subunit ribosomal RNA", at positions 987 to 1327 of the family's 1533-position model. Lineage: Bacteria; Bacillati; Bacillota; Bacilli; Caryophanales; Bacillaceae. The record is from RNAcentral.
UCCUCUGACACCCUAGAGAUAGGGCGUUUCCCUUCGGGGGAACAGAGUGACAGGUGGUGCAUGGUUGUCGUCAGCUCGUGUCGUGAGAUGUUGGGUUAAGUCCCGCAACGAGCGCAACCCUUGAUCUUAGUUGCCAGCAUUCAGUUGGGCACUCUAAGGUGACUGCCGGUGACAAACCGGAGGAAGGUGGGGAUGACGUCAAAUCAUCAUGCCCCUUAUGACCUGGGCUACACACGUGCUACAAUGGAUGGAACAAAGGGUCGCGAAGCCGCGAGGUCGAGCCAAUCCCAUAAAUCCAUUCUCAGUUCGGAUUGCAGGCUGCAACUCGCCUGCAUGAGCC